RNA transcript from Macadamia integrifolia, 4416 nucleotides. It is a transcript of the gene named histone-lysine N-methyltransferase SMYD3, with no coding region annotated. Lineage: Eukaryota; Viridiplantae; Streptophyta; Magnoliopsida; Proteales; Proteaceae. The record is from RefSeq and is a predicted model, not a curated record. The transcript is spliced from 17 exons.
UUCAUACCCGACUCCUUAGAAAGGAGGUGAACGAAAUCGCACUAUUGUUCUUCCAUUUCUUUUUUUUAGGGUUUUAUCUCCUUCCACUAUUGUUGUCGUUCAUAUCGAACUAUGAAGGAAUUGAUCGAACUCUCAAGUCCAUCCACUUAACACGAGAUUUUGGUUGAAAGCAACCCUAACCCUUGUUCUUGUUUAAAAAAUCUGUUGUUCGAUUGAUACUUGCUGGUAGGUGUUUUUGUGGCCUAGAUUCGUUAGGGUCAGGGACUACGAAUUUGUCCCUAAAAUUUCAGAUUAAACAUUACUCCAUUGAGCGAACUUCAAUCCAUCGAAUUCGAGAGAGAUUUUCGCUGGUUUUCUAGUUUUGUUUGAAGGAAGGGGAUGUCCGGUGGUGUCUGAUUUCGUUCGUUCUCCACCUCUCGGGUAUGGUUUUCUUCCAAGGUCGGGUUGAGUGUAGAUGAUAUUGGAGAAGUAAAGAUGGGUCAAGGCUCUUGACCGUUGGAUUAAAAAAAACACAGGUGAGUUGGGAGGUAGAUGGUUGGGAGUUUAGGUCGUUGGAGACGAUCCGGAUCCUAAUAUUCACCUGACGAAGUGCAGGAAGCAUUUGCAUUUUGCUACUGGCAACGAAAUGGAAGAGCUGAAACGUGUGAUUCCGAUCACCCUCAAGCGAAUGAUUUUCGAAAGCACUCACGAGGAUCUUUCUUCGACAUGUUCUUCUCUAUUGGAUUUUUUACUUCCUCUGCCGUUGUUUCAUGAUGUCGUACAAGGCCUAACGAACCCAGAAAUGGCUGUCUGUCAUAAGAACACGAAAGCUGCAUUAGAUUUUAAACAGAAAGGCAAUGACUGUUUCUCUAGUGGAGAUUACGCCAAAGCUUUGACUUUAUACUCCCAGCAGGGAUUGCGGUUUGCACCAAUGGAAGCCGAUGAUGCGGACAAGAGCCUUGUAACAGUGCUAUAUGCGAAUCGAGCUUCGUCUUUGCAUAAAAUGGGCCUUUUGGUAGAGUGCAUACGUGACUGUGGUCGGGCUCUCUUACUCACGCCUAGCUAUGCAAAGGCUUGGUAUAGGAGAGGUAUGGCAAAGGCUUCCAUGGCGAAUUAUGAAGAGGCAGUCUGUGAUUUGAAUGUUGCUCUGGACAUGGAGCUCUCUUUAUGCCGAAAGGCCCAGAUAAAAUGUGAGAUCGACACAAUUUUAGACCACUGCAGGAGGACUAAGGGGACAGGUAGCCCUGGGGAUAGUUCUAGCGAACGGAAUGUUGGAUCCUAUAGUAACUCAAUCUCUAUGAUUGAUGAGCUACGCCCAAAAGUACUGCAUUGUGUCUCCACAACAACUAAAGGAAGGGGUAUGGCUUCAUUAAUUAACAUAGCUAAAGCUUCCUUGGUUCACACUGAAGAACCUUAUGCUGCGAUUAUAUUGAAGCAUUGUCGGGAAACACACUGUCAUUUCUGCUUCAAUGAGCUACCAGCUGAUAUUGUCCCAUGUUCAUCAUGUUCAAUACCAUCGUACUGUUCCCAGCAUUGCCAAGUACAAGCUGGAGGACAAUUUGGAAGCAGUCCAAACAAUGCUUUGAUCCCUGAGAAUAUAUCUAAAAAUUUUGAAAUGGCGGAAACUUCACCUAGCAAUUCUGGAUAUAUUGUUGCUGAUGCAAACAUUAAUUGUAUCCCCGAACACAAACAUGAAUGUGGUGGUGUACAUUGGCCUGUAGUAUUACCAUCCGAAAUUGUUUUGGCAGGCCGAGUUCUAGUGAAGUCAAUUGAGCAAAGGAGGCACUCCAGCUUAACCUCCAAGCCCAUAGAAUCUUUGGACCUCUUUCACAAUUAUGCUCAAAUGACCCCAGAGAACAAAUUGGAGUUGCACAUUUAUUCAAUUGUACUGACCCACUGUCUUCAGCGUUAUUAUGGUUCUAUAUUUCCUUUAACUGGCACUUCUGCUUCACAGGUGGUAAUACUUAUAUCUCAAAUCAAGGUAAAUUCUAUGGCUAUUGUCCAUAUGAAAUCAGUAGAAGAAUAUAGUUCAUCGAAGCAGUCAGGACCACAGUUGUCAAGGGUUACUAAUGUAGAACAGGUCAGAGUUGGUCUAGCCAUUUAUUCAGUUGGUAGCUUGUUUAACCAUUCGUGUCAACCAAACAUUCAUGCUUAUUUCCUUUCACGUAGCCUCUCUAUACGAUCAACAGAAUUUGUGGCGGCAGGUCAACCGCUGGAGCUAUCCUAUGGCCCACAGAUUGGGCAAAUGACUCUUAUGGACCGUCAUCAGUCACUGGAAGAUCAAUAUGCAUUUAAGUGCAAGUGCAGUGGUUGUUCAGAACUUAAUCUGUCUGACCUUGUUGUAAAUGCUUUUCGGUGUGUGCAACCAAACUGUUUUGGUGCAGUCUUAGAUAUCUGUUUGUCAAAGCAUGAAAAACAGAAAGUUAGCUAUGUACAAGGUGUUUCGACAAUUUGCAGCUUUGAGUGUAAUUUACCCGUUGACAAGCUGAAAAUAGAAGACAUCAAUAAUGUGGCCCACGUCUUGUUUCAACAAACCAGUGGAACCCUUCGAAUUCAUCCUGGUUAUUGUUUGAAUUGUGGUUCUCAACGUGAUCUGGAAUCUUCACACGCCACAGUCAAGCAAGCUCGUAUUUAUGUCAAGAGAUUGCGGGAUGCAAUAGAUUCGAAGCAGGUUUCAAUAAAUGCACUCUCGGAUGUUUUGCGAUCUCUUGAUCUGUUGAGAUCAACAAUACAUUCAUACAACAAGGAGAUUGCAGAGGCAGAGGACAUUAUUGCAGAGGCAUUUUGUUCGCUUGGAGAAUUUCAAGCUGCCAUUGACCACUGCAAAGCAUCAAUUGAGAUCUUGGAGAAGCUUUAUACCGCCAACCACAUUGUCAUCGGGAAUGAGUUGGUUAAGCUUGCAUCUAUUCAACUAUCCAUGGGUAGAGUGUAUAUCUUUUCAUAAGACUGACGAAACGAGUGUAAGUAUAUACAGGAAAGGCAAACCAUGAUAUCUGAAUUUUUCUUUUUUUCUUUUGGAGUCUCUGAACAAUUGCCAUUAUGAGAUGCCCAAGCGAUCGUAUAUAUUAUACGCACGUAUGUACAUUUAACUAGCAUUUUCAGAAUCAUCAUUUUAGAUUACAAACUGACUGUAAUGAUAGUUUCUAAAAAUGCCCAAUUUUGUCCCUAAUCAUGAACAUUGUUAUGUAAAAACUUCAAGACAACCAUAGCCCGUGUAAUAAGAUAAAUUAUUUAAUUAUUGAAUUUAAUACAAUUUGUGGCAAGCCCAUUGUCAAGAAAUUGGAUAAAUUAUCAUCAGAUGCAACUAUAGCAGUGGGUGCAACAGAGCAUAGGAUCAGUACUUCCUUGUACCAAAAAACCAAAAAGAUAUUGUACCUAUUUCACCCUAUAUGGUUGUUUUUCUGAUGAGCUCUAGAUUCAUUCAUUUGUGUGAUACCUUCUUGGUGAUCACAAUGUAAUGGGACAAGGUGCUAGAUGUGCUCAUAUACAUUUCUAGGUUCUUUUUUCAUUUUGUUUUUUUCUAAGGCUAUGUUUGAUAGCCAAGAGGGGAAAAAAAAAAGUAUAAAAAUUGUACUAUUUUCUUUCUUGGUUUAAGAAAUUCUUAUUGUGUUUAGUAUUUCCUGAAUCAAGAGAAGAUUUUUUUUUGAAUUUCUAAAUUCAUCUUUGAAAUAGUGAAGUUUGCUUUUAUGCAAAAAAUAAAUAAAUAAUAAAAUAAUAAAAUAAAAUCUUGUCUUUUUCUUUUCUUUUCUUCUAUUGGUAGUCAAACACUCAUAAUUUUAUUUUAUUUUCUUUUCAAUUUUUUUUUUCUCCUCUCUUCUAGAUUCUUUUUUCUUUUCAUUUCCUUUCUUCUCUUGGCUACCAAACAUAUCCUAGAUAGACAAUGUCUUUCUAUUUCAUUAACUAUUAUUUUCUUUUCCUAGGUACAAAACUCUUCCUUCCCCAAUCUUAUGUGUUGGGUUAUCAGAGUAUCGUGAACAGAGUUGAAAAAAGGAUAGGCUUUAGGUAUUUUUCUUAAAGGGCAAUUUCAGGUAGGGACUUCUAAUACUACCUCCACAGUGGAGACAUAAGCUUUUUGCAUACUUCAGGGUUUACGGCUGGCGACGUCUAAGGGGUGGACUAUCGGUGAAGUAUGGUUCUCAUCCAAGGAUUUACUUCAACAUAUUCUGCAGCCUUCCAAUGUGUCUUGGCCGCUUCUUUCAUUUCAUAUCUUUUGGGAAAUCUUUGCUACUUUUGGUUCCUUAACCUAUGUAUGUAAAUGUACUAACUCUAAUCCUCUCGUUAUUUUUGGUGGAGAUGGCUUAUAGUGCUAGGAUAGGGGUGUUAACUCCUUUUAUAUUCUUCUGACUGUCUGAAUAUGUAAUAUGCUUUCUUGUUUAACACAAGUUUAUGCUUCAUCCAAAUAAUAAUAAUAAUAAUAAUAAUAAUAUUUUCUUUUCU